Molecule: ribosomal RNA, 285 nt
Filed under: uncultured bacterium
Lineage: Bacteria
Description: partial 16S ribosomal RNA
Rfam family: Bacterial small subunit ribosomal RNA
Source: RNAcentral
CGUAAAGCGAGUGCAGGCGGUUCAAUAAGUCUGAUGUGAAAGCCUUCGGCUCAACCGGAGAAUUGCAUCAGAAACUGUUGAACUUGAGUGCAGAAGAGGAGAGUGGAACUCCAUGUGUAGCGGUGGAAUGCGUAGAUAUAUGGAAGAACACCAGUGGCGAAGGCGGCUCUCUGGUCUGCAACUGACGCUGAGGCUCGAAAGCAUGGGUAGCGAACAGGAUUAGAUACCCUGGUAGUCCAUGCCGUAAACGAUGAGUGCUAAGUGUUGGGAGGUUUCCGCCUCUCA